Molecule: long non-coding RNA, 1928 nt
Filed under: Gallus gallus (chicken)
Lineage: Eukaryota; Metazoa; Chordata; Aves; Galliformes; Phasianidae
Description: lncRNA (ENSGALG00010012213.1)
Source: RNAcentral
CAGGGACGAUGACUCCACCUCCUCCCUGGGCAGCUGUGCCACUGCCUCACCGCUCCUUCUGGGAUGGGUUACUGGAGGGAACUCCUCUUCCCCCAGCUGCACGCUUAGCGUCUCCCUUGCUGCACGCACUGAGAAGGAGGUGUGCGCCACAGACUGAACAAAGCCAAGCGAAAAAGGCAGUGCAGCUUCUGCUCUGGCCUCUGCUUGUUUCACAUGCCAAUGAGCAAUGAAAGCACAGCACUAACAAAUAAACCACACUUCUUCAAAAAGCCCCCGGGAGGCUAUAUUCAAUGGUAUCAUUUUUUUUUUCUGUUUCUUUCUGAUUCUUUUUUUUUUUUUCUGUCGGAGCUGACAUCUUUUCCUCUUGCUGAACCAGCAUUUCCUGACAGCAAACCAUUGUCAGAAAUUUUCCAUCCAGCUCUCGGGUGGAUUUCAACACUCAGUGUUUGCACAUAUGUGCGAGAAGAGGUUAAUGUCAAUCUCAGAAACUUAUCUACAGGAUGUGCACGAGGGUACCAGCAGCGAGGAGCAGCACGUUCGUUUGGAGAAGUUCAGGCACCAGUUGCUUUCUUUGCCUUGGAGCUGGUGUCAGCUCUGCUCUGCUCGAUUACAGCUGUAAUGGUGAUCCUCUCUCAUGUGUUUACUGCCCAGCUGACCUGUCAUUAGGAAAAAAUCCUUCCGUGGUCAACGCUGCCUUUCGUGACACAGCAGAGCUCCUUUCAAAAGCCCUGGGACAUUCUGAUGGUUUUGAAAGAAAACAUCUAGGAGAAGAGCGCUGCUCUCCCAGUGAGCAGCAACACAGGCUGGCCUCAGAAGUCAGACAAGUGAGGCAGGAGCUUGGGAGGGGGGGGGGGGACGUGCUAACUAAUGCAACAGCAGGCACUUUAAUCACUGACGAGAUCACUGCCUGUGCUGCCUGAGGACAAUUCCUUAUCACAGCUGCCCACUGAAUAGCAACAGGACCAGUCUCCGCGUCUGAAGAACUUUAACCAGCAAAGCCUCUCCAAAGAUAACAAUGCACUGGGAGGGUAUGCAUGCCCAGGCAACGCUUUAAAGAAGUUAAAAAAGAAACAUUCCCCACAGUGUCACAGGUCUGCCAAGCACGAUGCAGCCCAGGGUCAUCAGCCUCUGCCUGUGGUGUUGGCACUCUAGGGAUGUGGACGAAAACCCCAACUCCUGGGGCUUUUAAGGGACCAGGAAGGGAAACAGUCUGUCCCCAUUCAGAUUUCUGCAGCCAAAGCUGCCUUCACAUGCACGCUUCCACAGAGAGUGUCACGGCAUCCCAGCAGCACAUCCAGGAGAUUGCCUUUACUAAAGGGGAGGGCUGAUUCAUCACCCUGCUGAAGUAUCACGAGCAGCCUCAGCCUCAGAGACCGGACCUGUUUGACAGCAGCCAGACAGCAUCAGCUGCCUCCUGGAGGAGAGGAAAAAAAAAAGGUUUGAAAUGAGAGAGCGAGCAGAGGAAUGAAGGGGAAAAAUGACUGGAGGACUGGAAGAGGACAAAGAGCUGCCUCUGGGAGACACAGUUCAACUUACAGAAGUAUGGGGUGGCUCUGAGCCCGCCUCAUCCAUCAAGGAGGAGACGCAUUGCCCCAAGUCCCAGCAGCACUCACACUGCCCAGGGAGGAUGGCAUGAAGCUGGGAGAGUCCGCUGCCCUCUGCUCCAGCUCUCGUGACUGGCUUAAAAAGUGAAGUGAAAGAGAGCUAUGGGAAACUGCAUGGUUGCACUUCACCUUUAAUGCUGUCCCCCCAGUUCACGGUCUUUAUUCAUGUGUUUUAUCAUAAAAUUUUGUUUUCAAUUUUCUCACAGAUGUUAACUUUAUAAGAAAGUUGCACUGUUUUAACUUCAGUUUUGUUAGCAUGAUGCAGAAGACGCUUCACAUCACUUAAAGUGAAAUUAAAACCCCUGCAACAAACAAACCAACAAA